CAGUGAUAAACUGGAGGAAGGUGGGGAUGACGUCAAGUCAUCAUGGCCCUUACGACCAGGGCUACACACGUGCUACAAUGGCGCAUACAAAGAGAAGCGACCUCGCGAGAGCAAGCGGACCUCAUAAAGUGCGUCGUAGUCCGGAUUGGAGUCUGCAACUCGACUCCAUGAAGUCGGAAUCGCUAGUAAUCGUGGAUCAGAAUGCCACGGUGAAUACGUUCCCGGGCCUUGUACACACCGCCCGUCACACCAUGGGAGUGGGUUGCAAA
This 269-nucleotide ribosomal RNA is filed under the name Salmonella enterica subsp. enterica serovar Heidelberg. RNAcentral's name for it is "partial 16S ribosomal RNA". It matches the Rfam family "Bacterial small subunit ribosomal RNA", at positions 1153 to 1421 of the family's 1533-position model. Lineage: Bacteria; Pseudomonadati; Pseudomonadota; Gammaproteobacteria; Enterobacterales; Enterobacteriaceae. The record is from RNAcentral. RNAcentral also lists the same sequence under 4 other names.